This 253-nucleotide ribosomal RNA is filed under the name uncultured bacterium. RNAcentral describes it as "partial 16S ribosomal RNA". It matches the Rfam family "Bacterial small subunit ribosomal RNA", at positions 524 to 776 of the family's 1533-position model. The record is from RNAcentral.
UACGUAGGGUGCAAGCGUUAAUCGGAAUUAUUGGGCGUAAAGCGCGCGCAGGCGGUUUCUUAAGUCUGAUGUGAAAGCCCACGGCUCAACCGUGGAGGGUCAUUGGAAACUGGGGAACUUGAGUGCAGAAGAGAAAAGCGGAAUUCCACGUGUAGCGGUGAAAUGCGUAGAGAUGUGGAGGAACACCAGUGGCGAAGGCGGCUUUUUGGUCUGUAACUGACGCUGAGGCGCGAAAGCGUGGGGAGCAAACAGG